RNAcentral lists this microRNA precursor (96 nucleotides) under Nicotiana sylvestris (wood tobacco). RNAcentral describes it as "MIR6152 microRNA precursor family". It matches the Rfam family "MIR6152 microRNA precursor family". Lineage: Eukaryota; Viridiplantae; Streptophyta; Magnoliopsida; Solanales; Solanaceae. The record is from Rfam by way of RNAcentral.
UGGACAGAUUAUUGCAUUCGACUGUAUUCACGACAUGAAAUAGGAGAUUACACUGUUUUUAAACGGAAAGUGAAUCAAUUAACAUAAUAGACUCCU